GGUUGAGUCCUGUGCGAUAUUUAAGCGUGAACCCUGUCAGGUCCGGAAGGAAGCAGCAGUAAGCGCUGAUAAUAUGUGCUGCGGGGGUGCUCAGCCCGA
RNAcentral lists this signal recognition particle RNA (99 nucleotides) under Christensenellaceae bacterium. RNAcentral describes it as "signal recognition particle sRNA small type". It matches the Rfam family "Bacterial small signal recognition particle RNA". From Rfam's summary of the family: The signal recognition particle (SRP) is a universally conserved ribonucleoprotein involved in the co-translational targeting of proteins to membranes. Archaeal SRP consists of a 7S RNA and homologues of the eukaryotic SRP19 and SRP54 proteins. In most bacteria, the SRP consists of a 4.5S RNA and the Ffh protein (a homologue of the eukaryotic SRP54 protein). Lineage: Bacteria; Bacillati; Bacillota; Clostridia; Christensenellales; Christensenellaceae. The record is from RNAcentral.